Molecule: non-coding RNA, 345 nt
Organism: Vicia faba (fava bean)
Lineage: Eukaryota; Viridiplantae; Streptophyta; Magnoliopsida; Fabales; Fabaceae
Source: the annotation of a GenBank genome assembly
AUGCUAUACGAUCGACGCCGGCUCCAUACCCUGGUUGGAACGAGUUUGGGAAUGAGGUUUUCAAAAAAACCCUUUCCCAAACCCUAUCCCAGGGGUGGUGAGUGUGUGACCUCACUUCCUCUUGGAAGGGAGGAGCUAAUAACUCCUUGCGAAGAGCUCCCGGCUCGGAGCAAUAACUCGGAACUCCUUGCGCAGAGCUCCCGGCUCGGAGCAAGAAACAAGGAGCUCAUAUCAGAUUCCGAAGGAAAUAGUAGCUUCGCCUGGUUAUCCUCACUUACUGACUCGCUAGGGGAAGGAAGAGAGGAUUUCGUUGCUUAUCUUCCAAGACCGGACCCCGUUCGUUAA